RNAcentral lists this ribosomal RNA (253 nucleotides) under uncultured bacterium. RNAcentral describes it as "partial 16S ribosomal RNA". It matches the Rfam family "Bacterial small subunit ribosomal RNA", at positions 524 to 776 of the family's 1533-position model. The record is from RNAcentral.
UACGGAGGGUGCAAGCGUUAUCCGGAUUCACUGGGUUUAAAGGGUGCGUAGGUGGGUUGGUAAGUCAGUGGUGAAAUCUCCAGGCUUAACUUGGAAACUGCCAUUGAUACUAUCAAUCUUGAAUACCGUGGAGGUCAGCGGAAUAUGUCAUGUAGCGGUGAAAUGCUUAGAGAUGACAUAGAACACCAAUUGCGAAGGCAGCUGGCUACGCGGAUAUUGACACUGAUGCACGAAAGCGUGGGGAUCAAACAGG